Molecule: ribosomal RNA, 370 nt
Filed under: uncultured cyanobacterium
Lineage: Bacteria; Bacillati; Cyanobacteriota
Description: bacterial SSU rRNA
Rfam family: Bacterial small subunit ribosomal RNA
Source: RNAcentral
GACGGAGCAAUACCGCGUGAGGGAGGAAGGCUCUUGGGUUGUAAACCUCUUUUGUCAGGGAAGAAGAUCUGACGGUACCUGACGAAUCAGCAUCGGCUAACUCCGUGCCAGCAGCCGCGGUAAUACGGAGGAUGCAAGCGUUAUCCGGAUUUAUUGGGCGUAAAGCGUCCGCAGGUGGUUAUGCAAGUCUGCUGUCAAAGCAUGGAGCUUAACUCCAUCAAGGCAGUGGAAACUGCACGACUAGAGUACGGUAGGGGUCACGGGAAUUCCCAGUGUAGCGGUGAAAUGCGUAGAUAUUGGGAAGAACACCAGCGGCGAAAGCGCGUGACUGGGCCGAAACUGACACUCAUGGACGAAAGCUAGGGGAGCG